This 353-nucleotide ribosomal RNA is filed under the name uncultured bacterium. RNAcentral's name for it is "bacterial SSU rRNA". It matches the Rfam family "Bacterial small subunit ribosomal RNA", at positions 8 to 350 of the family's 1533-position model. The record is from RNAcentral.
AGAGUUUGAUCAUGGCUCAGGAUGAACGCUAGCUACAGGCUUAACACAUGCAAGUCGAGGGGAAACGACAUCGAAAGCUUGCUUUUGAUGGGCGUCGACCGGCGCACGGGUGAGUAACGCGUAUCCAACCUGCCCACCACUUGGGGAUAACCUUGCGAAAGUAAGACUAAUACCCAAUGACGUCUCUAGAAGACAUCUGAAAGGGAUUAAAGAUUUAUCGGUGAUGGAUGGGGAUGCGUCUGAUUAGCUUGUUGGCGGGGUAACGCCACCAAGGCUACGAUCAGUAGGGGUUCUGAGAGGAACGGUCCCCCANAUUGGAACUGAGACACGGUCCAAACUCCGUACGGGAGGCA